UUUUGCCAGGAUACAGUGUCUUUAUUUUCCAGGUUACAUGUCAUGGCACAGAUUCAAAAUAACAAGGUUGAUAUUGUUGUUGUUUUUUUAAAAAUGGCAGUCAUCUUCAACAUCAGCAGAUAUUCAGUCAACUCCUUCCGCUUGGCAGAAGUAAUUCAGGCACAGACCAGGUGUUGGUUCCAACCUUGUCUGAUAAGCUACUGACGCUAACAGAAACAACAAAAAAAUGCAUGAAAUGUGGAUCUUAUUUUGUUUUUCUUUUUAGCUUUAAAGAAGUUCAAUUCACAAUUAAAGGUUUUCUACUGAUCAAAAAAUACAUAGAAGUAUUUGAAUUGACGGCAACAAUUCUUAAACAAGAUUAAUAUUUGAUAGAAACAUAACAUUCAUUAUACAAUAAAAACAUUUUGCACAAAACAAGAAAAAAUAAGGCAAAAAGGGUAAAAAAUAAAAAUAAAAGUUCAGUCUUCAUAUUUUUCAGUACAGAAUCACAAUCACAAAGCUUUACCAACAGAACUAAUCUUAAAAUUACAUAACCAUGAUGCUUUAAAUGACUUUUUUUUGUCUUAAAAUUAUUUGUUUUUAUAGAAUACACUGCAAUCACUACGGACCCCCAACAAGACAACGCUGCUCAUCACAUCUUGGAGUUGAAGACAGUAAAGAAGAAAGGCACAAAGAACCAGACAGGUUUGCAACGCGGACUGAGACUCAAAGCAGGUCUGUAUUGGCAUAUUUCUUACAGGAUAGCUCUAGGUGUACCUAGACAGGUUCAGCAGUGAGGGGUAUGUAGUGGCCAGUGGCUCUCAGAGCGGGUGCCUUCUGUAGGAGGAUUACGGGUUGCAUUGCUGUGCUUCUACUCCUCAGUGGACAUGUGAAGUCAUAUAGAGCUUAACAUCGUCCACCUAGCUGGCCCUCUCUUCGUUUAGCGACUUGGUCUGCAAACGUUAUGUAGACUAAUGUCCCAUGGCGUAAUGUUUUAUAGAAAGCAUUGAAAUGUUACUGGUGGCAUUCUAACAGUAUUAUAUAGAAUGCAAGUGCAAUUAUCAUUGGGCAAACUAGCUGGAGGAGCAAGGCCUUGACCUACUCUAAACAGACACUGUUCACUGAGCAUCUGAACACAAGGCCUGCUGGGAGCUCAAGACUUGGCAUUUGACUUGGUGGCAAUAAAAGAAGUGUGGUACAUGUUGAUACGUGAUAUAAUGGAGUACUGGAGUGUGUGUGUGGUGGUGGUGGGGAGGGGUUACAUGGGAAAUGUUGUCUCUAAGUUAGUCAUGGGAGCUGAGGUAGUUGGCAACUAGCUAGCCAGCUCCAAUUGAAAUGGUUCUGUAUCUUGGCCUGAGUAACUAUGGCCAACAUAAUGGUAGCAGACAAAAAGUAGUGCAAUGCAGACGGCUAGUUUGUCUGGGAGUUUGGGAAACAGGAGAAGCAGACUAACAUAUGUUCUAACAAUGAUCCAAUGAAUGUUGCCAUCUUAACAUGCAUAUACACCACCACAUGAAGAGCCUUUAAAACCAAUCCAAUGACUCCAGCAGACUAAAUGUUACAACCAUAUAAAUGUCAUGUCAUCUGACUAAUGCCUCUGUAAUAAGGUGUACAAUAUAAAAUGCUUUAAGCGUGCAGUUAGAAACAUAUUACAGGCUUUAAGGUUUUGGCUUUCAAAGGAGACAUCUUUUUUUCAAGAGCAAGAAAUUAUAAUAAGCAAGUUAUUAAGUGGAUAAAUCAAAAGAAGGUGUAAGCCCUCAUACUUGUGUGAGGCCUCUCCCCCUUAAAAAUAAGUUUUGCAUACAUUUAUCAUAAUACUGCACAUAGAACCUUUUAAGUGCCUUGUUCUGAAUGGUUAACUCAUGUCUGUAUUCCAGGGGUCAGGUGAUGUGUAAUAAAGAAGCCGGUUCAGUUUCUUAUGGCUAAGAUAUGGCAUCUUCCCAUGACUGACGGACACUAGCAUACGGCUAACAGGUCCAGCAGCACUCCAACUAAUAGAACCUGGUUUAACUUCUCUGAGAUCAGAAGAGUAGAAGACAAAUGUAGAAGCUAAAACAACAGCAAAUUGAAAAUGAAGAAGCAGCUCCCUCUGCUGGGUGGAAGAGGGCAGAGCAGGACCAGGUGGUUGGAGCAGGGCAAAGACAACCUACAUCAGAAUAGCAUGUUUUUAUGUAGAACUUUUAACAGUCAGGCAAAGGGCACAGUCAAACUGUUAUAGAGCCCCAAACAGAACGAGGACAGAAACUCAUUCAGCACAGAUGCACUUAGUUUUUAUUUUACAGACACGAGAGGGAUUGUUUUCUAAUCAACUUAAAUAAAUGUCCCUAACCACCAUAGUUUUGCGGCAGGAGCUUUAAGCUUGCGUUGUUGCCACUGUGAAAACUCCAGCAUUGUUCUGUCUGUCUUUGUGGGAGCAAUCCCUUUGGUAGUUGAAUUUGAUUUACCAAGAGGUUCCUAAGUGAAUAGAGAAAGUCUGAAAAAAACAACCCCAGAACAAAAAACACCCACUAAAUAAACUCAAAGACUAAGACCAGCCACCCCGUCAAUCAAUCAUAUGCCCCUCCCCCCUAUAUCUUUUACCAUGUCUCAACAACAUAUGGUCUGUCUGACUAGUUAUCAUCAGUAUUGUCAUUGCAUAAAUUAGUUUAUUUCAACAUUGCUGGGGGGUCUUGGUAGAGUAAUGUCACAACAUCUAUGAUGUCACUUAUGAUGUCAUUGAUAACAUCUCUGAUUUCCCUGAUCAUAGCUUGGCUUCAGAUACUUUGAAAGUAAAAAGGAUAAAAAGAUCACUGAAAACGUAAAGCCUCUCAAACAGACAGACAAUCUCCCGAGGCCGCAGCAUGGCAACAGACAGACAGACAGCAGUCUCCCGAGGCCGUAGCAUGGCAACAGACAGACAGACAACAGUCUCCCAAGGCCGCAGCAUGGCAACAGACAGACAAAAAAUAGACAGACAGUCUCCCAAGGUUGCAGCAUGGCAACAGACAGACAACAGACAGACAACAGUCUCCCAAGGCCGCAGCAUGGCAACAAUAACGACUGAACCAUAAACAACAGAUUGCACUAAAAACACAACAGUAAAGUCACUCACUGUUAGUUUGAACAGGAGUUGCCAGAACCCAAGGGUGAGUUGCCAGAACCCAAAUUCACCAUAUUCCCUGUGGGACACUAUGGAACCCAAGCAGAGCACUCUAUAGGUAACACAGUGAAUUGGGACAUUGAGACCUCUAUUUGUUCACCUUGGCUUGAUACACAUAAGACAAGCAGCUCCUCCACAAUAAGCCAAGAUAUGAACCUCCCACAACCUGCAGACAAACAAGAGAAUGAGGGGGAGGAGGUUGAGGAGGAGGGGAAGAGGUUGAGGAUCAGAAAGUUAAAGCAGAAACAGAACUAUGGAGAGAGAAAUAAAGAGGGACUGAUUCCUGACACCAUUCCCGAAGGUGGUGGUCUGGUCAGAGGGAGGGGUCUGGUCAGAGGGAGGGGUCUGGUCAGAGGGAGGGGUCUGGUCAGAGGGAGGGGUCUGGUCAGCACACAAUGCAGAAGAGCAGUAGAGGAGCAUCCAGGGCAGUCUGAUCUGUAGAGGAGCAGAGGAGCGUCCAGGGCAGUCUGAUCUGUAGAGGAGCAGUAGAGGAGCAUCCAGGGCAGUCUGAUCUGUAGAGGAGCAGUAGAGGAGCGUCCAGGGCAGUCUGAUCAGUAGAGGAGCGUCCAGGGCAGUCUGACCUGUAGAGGAGCAGUAGAGGAGCGUCCAGGGCGGUCUGAACUUUAGAGGAGCAAUAGAGGAGCGUCCAGGGCGGUCUGAUCUUUAGAGGAGCAGUAGAGGAGUGUCCAGGGCAGUCUGAUUUUUAGAGGAGCAGUAGAGGAGUGCCCAGAGCAGUCUGAUCUGUAGAGGAGCAGUAGAG
This is a long non-coding RNA of Esox lucius (northern pike), 3878 nucleotides long. The record is from Ensembl. Lineage: Eukaryota; Metazoa; Chordata; Actinopteri; Esociformes; Esocidae.